RNAcentral lists this ribosomal RNA (439 nucleotides) under Oxynoe jacksoni. RNAcentral's name for it is "partial 16S ribosomal RNA". It matches the Rfam family "Bacterial large subunit ribosomal RNA", at positions 1828 to 2595 of the family's 2925-position model. Lineage: Eukaryota; Metazoa; Mollusca; Gastropoda; Oxynoeidae. The record is from RNAcentral.
AGCCUAGAGAGAACUGUUUUAGGUAAGGCCUGCCCAAUGCCGAAACUGGUAAAUGGCCGCAGUACCCUGACUGUGCUAAGGUAGCGUAAUCAGUUGGCUUUUAAAUGGAGUCGUGUAUGAAGGGACUGAUGGGGUUAAGCUGUCUCUACUAAAUUUAUUCGAAAUUAAUAAGGAGGUGAAAAUACCUCCGUGAAGAUAAAGGACGAUAAGACCCUUGGAGUUUUCACUAAAAUAGCCUUAUUGGCUUGUUGUUUUUGCUGGGGCGGCAUAGGGGGAUUUUUAAACCCCCUUUAGUUUGAUAAGCCGAAAGUUUUAAGCGUAACUAAACUACCCGAGGGAUAACAGCAUUAUUCUUUAUAGAGUUUGUGACCUCGAUGUUGGACUAGGAAUUAAUUAGGCUAGCCGCUUAAAUCUAUUGUUCUGUUCGAACUAGUUUUCC